RNAcentral lists this ribosomal RNA (407 nucleotides) under uncultured bacterium. Its description in RNAcentral is "partial 16S ribosomal RNA". It matches the Rfam family "Bacterial small subunit ribosomal RNA", at positions 28 to 526 of the family's 1533-position model. The record is from RNAcentral.
GACGAACGCUGGCGGCGUGCCUAAUACAUGCAAGUAGGACGCAGUUGCGAACGGGUGAGUAACGCGUAGGUAACUGCCUAUUAGAGGGGGAUAACUAUUGGAAACGAUAGCUAAUACCGCAUACUCGUAGAUGGACCUGCGUUGUAUUAGCUAGUAGGUAGGGUAAUGGCCUACCUAGGCGACGAUACAUAGCCGACCUGGGGAGGGGAGUGGCCACACUGGGACUGGGACACGGCCCAGAAUCCUACGGGAGGCAGCAGGAGGGAAACGUCGGCAAUUGGGGGAACCCUGGACAAGCAACGCCGCGGGAGUGAAGAAGGUUUUCGGAUCGUAAAGCGCUGUUGGUAAGGAAGCGGUACUUAACCAGAAAGGGACGGCUAACUACGUGCCAGCAGCCGCGGUAAUUC